Molecule: long non-coding RNA, 285 nt
Organism: Callorhinus ursinus (northern fur seal)
Lineage: Eukaryota; Metazoa; Chordata; Mammalia; Carnivora; Otariidae
Source: RefSeq, a predicted model, not a curated record
CCAUGGGUCACUGACUCAGAAAAUCAAGAAAUGGCAGACAAUGGGGGGACUACUGCAUACCUAAUGCAGGCUUCCAAGAACAAAUGCUAGCAACUGAAGUCUUCCUUGAAUUGAGCAAGGCAGACCAGAAGCUCCAAGGACAGCUCAAUGGCAAUACGAUACAUGGCCCCUUGGUCAUUGGUGACUUUGAAAAGGGCUGUUUCAAUAGAGCGGGAGAGAUGGAAACCAGACUGGAGUAUGAAUAGGAGAACUCUAGAAGAUCAAAAGCAGUACCAAUUUGAGAAG